UGAGGAAUAUUGGUCAAUGGGCGCAAGCCUGAACCAGCCAUGCCGCGUGCAGGAUGAAUCAUCUAUGGUGUGUAAACUGCUUUUGUAUUGGAAGAAACCACCCCUCGCGUGGGGUAUUGACGGUACCGUAAGUAUAAGGAUCGUCUAAUUCUGUGCCUGCAGCCGCGGUAAUACGGAGGAUCCAAGCGUUAUCCGGAAUCAUUGGGUUUAAAGGGUCCGUAUGCGUGUCUGUAAUUCAGUGGUGAAAUCUCCCCGCUCAACGGGGAAACUGCCAUUGAUACUGCAAGUCUUGAAUUAUUGCGAAGUAACUAGAAUAAAUAAUAUAGCAAUAAAAAGAUUAGAGAUUACAUGGAAUACCGAUUGCGAAGGCAGGUUAAUAACAAUGGAUUGACGCUGAUGGACGAAAACGUGGGUAGCGAACA
This 422-nucleotide ribosomal RNA is filed under the name uncultured bacterium. RNAcentral's name for it is "bacterial SSU rRNA". It matches the Rfam family "Bacterial small subunit ribosomal RNA", at positions 355 to 774 of the family's 1533-position model. The record is from RNAcentral.